Long non-coding RNA from Neofelis nebulosa (Clouded leopard), 4230 nucleotides. RefSeq lists it as uncharacterized. The record is from RefSeq and is a predicted model, not a curated record. The transcript has 2 exons. NCBI's taxonomy places the organism in Eukaryota, Metazoa, Chordata, Mammalia, Carnivora, Felidae.
GUGCUGCAAAUACAAUCCAGUCAGUGAAGUGUCAGGUACUGUGCCCAGGUACUGAGCACUUGCAUGAUUAACUCUUACUCGCAAUAACGUCACGGGGCUAGGUGAUGGGGAAGGCACAAGCCUUGUGCCCUCCCCCGCUGAUCCAGGGUGGCCUCAGCACCUCGGUGACAGGCUCUGACAGUCUGUGGGAUGCAUGAACGUGAUGGCUGAAGGCUCCUACCUGCCGGUGUCAGCAUCAGCACCAGGGCCCGAACUCACUACGUGUUAAAAAUGGAGGUGUCGUUCCUGGGCGUAUGUGCGUAUAAUUCAGCUAGUGCUCUCAUGGCGGUGGCCAGGCCGCUGCCAGGUUUCUCAGAAUCCUGCCACCUCAGAGAUUCAGAGAAGCUUAGAUUUUCAGAGAAAGUCUGUUGGUACGCCGCAGAGAUGUUAACCACAGAGCCUGAGCAGAAGCCAGGUGAGAGUUAGUUCAGCAGGCCAGGCAGAGUUCACCCUUCCUGUCCCCAGCUGUGGGCAGAGGCCCCAAAGCACAGUGUAAAUGUCAGAUCCAUGCCCCUGAGCGUGUGUGGGAGGAGCACUGUCCCAGGAGUCAGCAGCCCAGCAGUCAGCUCUGCCCUGUCCAGCAGUACACAAAGCCCACCCAGGCCACACAGCAACCAUCCUCCUGCUUAGGCAGGGUUUGGUCCCAGCUCAUUCAGAAGACUUUGGGGAGCCCCUCCCAGUUUCUGACACUUGGCUUCUCCAUCGGAAAAUGAAAGGGUUACAUUAGACCAGGUCCUUUUUUCAAACUUUUCUGACCAUAACCCACAUUAAGACAAACAUUUUACACGUACUACAUAGGACAACCUCAAGUGCUGUAACUCACAUCCCAAGAUGUCAAUGGCUUAACGCGAGAAAAGUUAAUUUCUCACUCACAUAAUUUCAAUGCACUGUUUCCUGCUUUGUGGGUGGCUGUCCUCCACAAAGUGAUUCAGGAACCCAGCCACCCUGACCCAGAAGUAAAAUGUCACUUUCAAUCACAUUCCAUUAGUGACGGCAAGUCACCCAGGGGCCCCGCCUAAAGCAAGGGUCUGGAGGUGGUCACUCCAGGAGCCCACCCCCUCCCUCGGGACACACGUAUUCUCUGAGAGGGGAGCACAGAUCUGGCAGCCAGUCAGCCACCUCUGACACACCCUGGAUACACACACACACACUCACCCAUGCAACUGAAAUAGAAGGUUCGUGAAACAAACUUGCUCAUCCUGCAUGUGAUGCUUCCUGAUUCUAAUACCUUCUACCUUAUUUUAUUUUAUUAGUGCUGGGCAUGCCCCACUAUUGGAUCAGUGCCUACCGUUUACAAAUUCAGACGAUUACUCAAAGAAACGGCCAUAAUAUUAUCCUACUCUGUAGAGUGUAUAGAGUUGAAUGGCCACAUGUCUUGAAGGACUUAAUUCACCCAAGAAGAGGGUUACUUAACACCCUAGCUGCUGCUCAGGGGAAGAUGCAAUGCAGAAAAGGUGACUUUUAGCCCACUAUAGACUCAGAUGAACUACUAAUCUAUCCAAAGAACUGAGGCCUGGCCAAACGUCCAGGAGCAGAAGGCACACCUGGGGGCCCAGGAGGAUGGUUUCUAAAGCAAGUCACAGACCGGAUUGGAGGAGGCUCCAAGCCUCCUUCUGAGAGGGAUUUUGCAAGUUCUUUUCCCAGAAUGCAGUUGACUUUGGACAAAAUUCCAGCUAGGUGGCAAUGAUGAUGCCCUAGAACAGUGGAGAAGGAGCAGGCAUCUUAGCCCCUGCCAUGAAAUAUCCUGGUAUUGCCCCCAGACCACCUCUUCUCUCUCUUGCCCCCACCCCCAGGAAGUAUCUAGUCUGCCUCCAUCUCAUUGCUGAUGCUCCCUGAGCUCUGAUGGGUCUGCAAAACAACUUCUGCUCUGGAAGCUCUUUUCUCAGAAACACCUGGGAGAGGGCCCUAUAACUGUGACUCAGCUUAUGACGUAUAUGACCCAAAGUCACACUGGAGACACUGGCCCCUUUCUUUGAAGAGACAAAUCAGCCUUCAGUGAGUGACCUAGAUCCAAUUUCAAAAUUUCCAACUAAUUUUGGUCAAUGUACCAUAACUUGUGCAACUGUCCUAUUAUGAACCGAGAGCAAGGAGCCUCUCCAUGGAAAAGGUGUGUGAGGGCAGGAAUAUGGGAUUGUUCAGGCAGUGGAUCUGGGUUCAAGAAGGGCCUCUGCCUCCACAUAAGCUGUGAGCUCUUGAGCAACAUGCACAACUUCUCUCAACCUCCAUUUGCCUACCUGGGAAUGGGAAACAUUACCUGCCUCCCAGGAUAUGUGUGAGAAGCAGAUGGUUUAAAGUAAGUGAAGGGCAAGACUCAUGGUGAGUACCCCGUAGACACUGCCCUGUCCACCCCCAACCUCUGGAAGAGGAAGGGCCACAUAACACAUUUACUUUCUAGGUGUAGACUUCAUUGCCCUUCUGCAUGGAAGUGACAAGCCAAACGAGCCCUUUAUUAGGAAUAUAUGUGUGGUGGACAGGUGUAUUCCGAGGGCCACACACACCCAGCCCAGCCAAGGGACUGACCGUGGGGAACCUGUUGCUACCGUGUAUAUUCCCUGACAAGUCCAAGUAUGACAAUUUGUGAAUCUGAGAAAGGCGGACUCGGGAGUAGAGGAGGGAUGUGAUGUGUGCCAAACCAGGAAGAAAGGGUAGCAGGUGGAUUUGCCCAAAGAAGCGAAGUGUUGAGCUGGACCUUGGAGUUGACUGGGCGGUUUUGUGGGGAGGUGUUCUAGACACUGGGACUAGCGGCAUACACAGAGUGUGCAGAGGUGAGGCCCCGAGCAGGGAGGCAGCAAAGGAGGUUCUUGGUGGAGUGGGGGCCCUAAGCGAGAGACCCCAGCAAGGUCUGAGGACUCCAAGUCCUCUCUGGGACCUUCUCCCCACUCUGGGGUUGUGUUUAUUAGAGGUGAAGGCUUCUACAAUAUCUGUGGUUCAAAGCUCAAAUUUAAGGAAUCGCCUCAGAAUGGCCAGGCUGUCUCAGAUGGGAGCCUGGGGAGAUUGGCACUGCUGUAGGGAAGCGGCAUGAGCAAAGGCAGAGAGGCUGGGAUAAAAGAAGGAAAGAAAGACAGUCUAGAGAGACAUUUCUGGUGUCAGGGAGGAGCAUGAGCUGGAAAUAAGAAGGAUCUGAGUCUCUGCCUUGGCCCUGCUUCUCGCUGGGUAGCCUUGGGCAAGUCACUUCCCCUCUCUGGGCCCCAGUCUUAUCUCCUUAUUGAUGAAAUGAGAGGUAGGAACUGCGCAGAAAUCACCUGUAGGGGCCUAGAGUGGGGACUUCCAGAGCUGAGGGUGUGGGCAUACUCACCACCCGUCCAGAUCCUGGAAUCUGGGCACGGCACAAAUGGCUGCAGAUGAAAGAGGGGAGGGUGAGAGGGAAUCAGUGCAUCAGUGAAGGCCCCACAACCUGUUCCUGGGACAACAGGCUGUUACAGAUAGGGAGAGCAAAGACAUGGAGGAAUUCUGUAACUCAUGAUUUCUAGUGGGAGUUAUGGUGCAAUGGCUUUGGAAAAUAGUUCAGGGGCUUCUAAUAAAGUUAAACAUACACUUAACCAGCAGUCACACCCCUAGGUAUUUACUGAAGAAAGAUGAAAUACACGCCUCACAAAAAGACUUACACAUUACCAUUCACAACAGCUUUGUUCACUAUAGCCCCAAACUGGAAAUCACCCAAAAGUCCAUCAACGGACAGCAAAUGGCAGAAUGGCCAGGUGACGGAGAGCCACUCAGCAGUACAAAGGAGUGAGCCUUGGGUACACACAGCAUGGAUGGACCUCAUGGACAUAAGGGGCUACUUCAAGGAACAAAUCAAAGCACACCUGACGGAGGGUCCAAAACAUCACUACGAGUAGGGAAAUAAAAUAACCAAAGUCACAACAACAGAGAGCAAGUAACACUCUCCAAAAAUCACUUCCUGAAGGGCCAGGCCCUGGACACUGUAUGACCCCCCUUUAAUAUAGGAGUACUCGCAGGUGCAGCACAUAACAAGCUUUUAAAACUCAUAAGGGACAGAAAACUAGCCAAAAUGAUGAAAUGGAAGAAUUCUCCUCCAAAGAAAUUCCAGGAAGAAGUGACAGCUAAAGAACUGAUCAAAACAGAUUUAAGUAGUAUAACUGAACAAGAAUUUAGAAUAAUAGUCACAAAAUUAAUUGCUGGGCUUGAAAAAAAGCAUAGAGGACAACAGAGAAUCUAUUGCUACAGAGA